Molecule: ribosomal RNA, 451 nt
Filed under: uncultured bacterium
Lineage: Bacteria
Description: bacterial SSU rRNA
Rfam family: Bacterial small subunit ribosomal RNA
Source: RNAcentral
GUGGGGGAUAUUGCGCAAUGGGCGAAAGCCUGACGCAGCGACGCCGCGUGGGUGAUGAAGGCCUUCGGGUCGUAAAGCCCUGUCGAGGGGGACGAAGGAGUUCCGACCUAAUACGUCGGGGCCCGGACGGUACCCCUAAAGGAAGCACCGGCUAACUCCGUGCCAGCAGCCGCGGUAAUACGGAGGGUGCGAGCGUUGUUCGGAAUCACUGGGCGUAAAGCGCGUGUAGGCGGUCCGCUAAGUCUGGUGUGAAAGCCCGGGGCUCACCCCCGGAAGUGCACUGGAAACUGGCGGACUCGAGUCCCGGAGAGGAGAGUGGAAUUCCUGGUGUAGCGGUGAAAUGCGUAGAUAUCAGGAGGAACACCGGUGGCGAAGGCGGCUCUCUGGACGGUGACUGACGCUGAGACGCGAAAGCGUGGGGAGCAAACAGGAUUAGAAACCCUAGUAGUCC